Molecule: ribosomal RNA, 796 nt
Filed under: Bacillus sp. BCCS 033
Lineage: Bacteria; Bacillati; Bacillota; Bacilli; Caryophanales; Bacillaceae
Description: bacterial SSU rRNA
Rfam family: Bacterial small subunit ribosomal RNA
Source: RNAcentral
CGGUUUCUUAAGUCUGAUGUGAAAGCCCCCGGCUCAACCGGGGAGGGUCAUUGGAAACUGGGGAACUUGAGUGCAGAAGAGGAGAGUGGAAUUCCACGUGUAGCGGUGAAAUGCGUAGAAAUGUGGAGGAACACCAGUGGCGAAGGCGACUCUCUGGUCUGUAACUGACGCUGAGGAGCGAAAGCGUGGGGAGCGAACAGGAUUAGAUACCCUGGUAGUCCACGCCGUAAACGAUGAGUGCUAAGUGUUAGGGGGUUUCCGCCCCUUAGUGCUGCAGCUAACGCAUUAAGCACUCCGCCUGGGGAGUACGGUCGCAAGACGGAAACUCAAAGGAAUUGACGGGGGCCCGCACAAGCGGUGGAGCAUGUGGUUUAAUUCGAAGCAACGCGAAGAACCUUACCAGGUCUUGACAUCCUCUGACAAUCCUAGAGAUAGGACGUCCCCUUCGGGGGCAGAGUGACAGGUGGUGGAUGGUUGUCGUCAGCUCGUGUCGUGAGAUGUUGGGUUAAGUCCCGCAACGAGCGCAACCCUUGAUCUUAGUUGCCAGCAUUCAGUUGGGCACUCUAAGGUGACUGCCGGUGACAAACCGGAGGAAGGUGGGGAUGACGUCAAAUCAUCAUGCCCCUUAUGACCUGGGCUACACACGUGCUACAAUGGACAGAACAAAGGGCAGCGAAACCGCGAGGUUAAGCCAAUCCCACAAAUCUGUUCUCAGUUCGGAUCGCAGUCUGCAACUCGACUGCGUGAAGCUGGAAUCGCUAGUAAUCGCGGAUCAGCAUGCCGCGGUGAAUACGUU